RNAcentral lists this small RNA (28 nucleotides) under Bombyx mori (domestic silkworm). RNAcentral describes it as "ovarian small RNA-2734". The record is from RNAcentral. Lineage: Eukaryota; Metazoa; Arthropoda; Insecta; Lepidoptera; Bombycidae.
GCACGGAUAAGGCAGUGAUCAGACGAUC